GUCAACGGAGAACACUAUCGUGUGACUUUAUUUCACCGCGAGUCGGCGAGAUGCGAGCAUCCAAAAUUAUCGGAUCUCAAUAAUGGCUAAACCAAUCAAAAUUAAGUUUCGCGGCGAGUUUGACAAUUGAUGAUAAUUUGUUUUGGAAUAAAUCAGAAAACUAGAAGUGUUCAAAUAUUAUGGUCUGUAGAGAUUGUUGUGCAACUUGACCGUAUUAUGAUAUAUUUGUUUAAAUAUAAAAGAUUAGACGAUGGAUACAUUCAAGUCGACAAAGCAGGUAAACCUAUUCGCAAGGCUAUUUAAUGUGAAUAAUUUCUAUUUUUACAAGUCGGAUCCAUUUAUUAAACGUCACUAUCUCCCAUCUAUAAACUUGAGAAAAAGAAAUCAACAAAGUCAAGUAUAAAUUCUAACAUAAUAUUAUUAAGGAAAAUAUAUUGUAAACGUGUACUUAUCUAAUAAAGCAAGAUCAAUAAUCA
This is a long non-coding RNA of Pogonomyrmex barbatus (red harvester ant), 476 nucleotides long. RefSeq lists it as uncharacterized. Lineage: Eukaryota; Metazoa; Arthropoda; Insecta; Hymenoptera; Formicidae. The record is from RefSeq and is a predicted model, not a curated record.